UACGAAGGGGGCGAGCGUUGUUCGGAAUCACUGGGCUUAAAGCGUACGUAGGCGGAUUUGCAAGUCAGAAGUGAAAUCCCGGGGCUCAACCCCGGAAUUGCUUUUGAAACUGCAUAACUAGAGUCCCGGAGAGGUUGGCGGAAUUCCGAGUGUAGAGGUGAAAUUCGCAGAUAUUCGGAGGAACACCAGUGGCGAAGGCGGCCAACUGGACGGGUACUGACGCUGAGGUACGAAAGCGUGGGGAGCAAACAGG
RNAcentral lists this unclassified non-coding RNA (253 nucleotides) under uncultured Alphaproteobacteria bacterium. RNAcentral describes it as "contains 16S-23S intergenic spacer region". It matches the Rfam family "Bacterial small subunit ribosomal RNA", at positions 524 to 776 of the family's 1533-position model. The record is from RNAcentral. Lineage: Bacteria; Pseudomonadati; Pseudomonadota; Alphaproteobacteria.